Molecule: ribosomal RNA, 377 nt
Filed under: uncultured organism
Description: partial 16S ribosomal RNA
Rfam family: Bacterial small subunit ribosomal RNA
Source: RNAcentral
GGAGGGUGCUAACGUUGCUCGGAAUUACUGGGCGUAAAGCGCAUGCAGGCGGUCUGUUUAGUUUCGUGUGAAAGCCCUGGGCUCAACCCAGGAAGUGCACGGAAUACUGGCAGACUAGAGUACUGGAGAAGUGGACGGAAUUCCCGGUGUAGAGGUGAAAUUCGUAGAUAUCGGGAGGAACACCAGCAGCGAAGGCGGUUCACUAGACAGAUACUGACGCUCAGAUGCGAAAGCGUGGGGGGAGCAAACAGGAUUAGAUACCCUGGUAGUCCACGCCGUAAACGAUGGGCACUAGGUGUCGGGGGCUUGACCCCCCCCUUCGGCGCCAAAGCUAACGCAUUAAGUGCCCCCGCCUGGGGAGUACGGUCGCAAGACUA